Molecule: transfer RNA, 67 nt
Filed under: Ixodes ovatus
Lineage: Eukaryota; Metazoa; Arthropoda; Arachnida; Ixodida; Ixodidae
Description: tRNA-Met
Source: RNAcentral
UAUAAAGUAAGCUAAAAUUAAGCUAGUGGGUUCAUACCCCAAAAAUGAAUUUUUUAUUCCUUUAUUA